GGUGGCUCAGUGCUAGAGUGCUUGCCUUGCAUGCAUGAGGCCCUGGGUUCAAUUCCUCAGCACCA
Dipodomys ordii (Ord's kangaroo rat) is the source of this 65-nucleotide non-coding RNA. Lineage: Eukaryota; Metazoa; Chordata; Mammalia; Rodentia; Heteromyidae. The record is from Rfam.